AUGGGAUCGAAGCCAUUCCCGGGAAGCCCAGUGGGGUUUUUUUUUUUGGGAUGGGCAGAGCGGGAAAAUCCCGUGGGAUGGAGGGAGGGAAAAGGAGCCGGAGCCUCCCGGGGCUUCCCGAAAUUCCCACUUUUCCCCAGGAUUUGCCCCGGGAUCUCUCCGGGAUAUUCCAGGUGGGGGGAAAUUGGGAUUCUCCUGGCCCCGCAUUCCCAAAUCCCUGUCCUCGAUCCCAAAUCCCUGUCCCCGAUCCCAAAUCCCUGUCCUCGAUCCCAAAAUCCAUCCUCGAUUCCCAAGCUCUGGUCCCACAUUCCCAAAGCUCCAUCCCCAAUCCCCAAAUUCCCUCCUCAAUCCCAAAUCUCCGUCCCCAAUUCCCAGAAUUCCAAAGCUCCAUCCCCAAUCCCAAAAUUCCCUCCCCAAUCCCAAAUCUCCGUCCCCAAUUCCCAGAAUCCCAAGGCUGCAUCCUCAAUUCCCAAAUGUCUCCUCAAUCCCAAAUUUCCAUCCCCAAUCCCAAAAUCCCCUCCUCAAUCCCAAAUCUCUCCCCGAUUCCCAAAUUUCCAUCCCCAAUUCCCAAAUAUCCAUCCUCAAUCCCGAAAUUCCCUCCUCAAUCCCAGAUCUCCAUCCCCAAUUCCCAAACCUCUCCCCGCAUUCCCAAAUUUUCAUCCCCGAUCCCAGAUCUCCAUCCCCAAUUCCCAGAAUCCCAAAUUCCCAUCCCCAAUUCCCAAAUCUCUCCCUGAUUCCCAAAUUUUCAUCUCCAAUUCCCAAAUAUCCAUCCUCAAUCCCAAAAUUCCCUCCUCAAUCCCAGAUCUCCAGCCCCAAUUCCCAAAUUUCCAUCCCCAAUUCCCAGAAUCCCCAAUUUCCAUCCCCAAUUCCCAAAAUUCCGAAGCUCCAUCCCCAAUCCCAAAAUGCCCUCCUCAAUCCCAAAAUUCCCUCCCCAAUACCAAAUCUCCGUCCCCAAUUCCUAAAAUCCCAAAUUUCCAUCCCCAAUUCCCAGAAUCCCAAAUUUCCAUCCCCAAUUCCCAAAUCUCCAUCCCCAAUUCCCAGAAUCCCAAAUUUCCAUCCCCAAUUCCCAAAUCUCCCUCCCCAAUUCCCAGAAUCCCAAAUUUCCAUCCCCAAUUCCCAAAUCUCCAUCCCCAAUUCCCAGAAUCCCAAAUUUCCAUCCCCAAUUCCCAAAUCUCCAUCCCCAAUUCCCAGAAUCCCAAAUUUCCAUCCCCAAUUCCCAAAUCUCCAUCCCCAAUUCCCAGAAUCCCAAAUCUCCAUCCCCAAUUCCCAAAUCUCCAUCCCCAAUUCCCAGAAUCCCAAAUUUCCAUCCCCAAUUCCCAAAUCUCCAUCCCCAAUUCCCAGAAUCCCAAAUCUCCAUCCCCAAUUCCCAAAUCUCCCUCCCCAAUUCCCAGAAUCCCAAAUUUCCAUCCCCAAUUCCCAAAUCUCCCUCCCCAAUUCCCAGAAUCCCAAAUCUCUCCCAACAUUCCCAAUCUCCCCCAAUUCCCUGGAUUUCCCCCACCCCAGAGCGGAGUUUUCCCUUGGGAAUCCCGGCCUUUCCCGCCCUUAUUGCUGUGGAAAAUGGCUCCAUUUAGGAUCCCCCCCUUCCCAAAAAACCACCCCGACCCCCCAAAAAUUCCACGGAUUCUUCCAAAGAGGAGGAAGGAGGGGGGGGGGGGGAAAAUCCCAAAAAAAUUCCAACCUGACUUUUGGGAAGCGGGAAACUCCCCCCCACCUCCCUUUUUUUUUUUUUUUUUCCCAGCCCUUCCCUCUUUUCCCAGAUUUUUCCCUUUGGGAAUGUCCCCAAGUGCCACCACCCCGCGAAGCGAAGCAGGGAAAGGAGGGAGCGAAUUCCCGGCAGCGAAUUCCCGAUUCCCGGCAGCGCAUUCCCAGCACGGAUCCCUCUGGAAAAGCGAAUCCAGGGAAUCCUUCCCGCGGCAGCAGCGAAGCGGCUCCCACCCCCACCCCCCCCAACCCCCUCCCGUGUCCCCUCCUUAUCCCGCCACCCCUUAUUGCGACAGAAUUCCAAGGAAUUCGGAGCUGGAGCCGGGAAUUUCCCGCUGGGAAUUUGGGAUGAGGGAGAAGCGGCACCGGCGGCGGGGCUGGGUCGGGAUUUAG
Molecule: long non-coding RNA, 2094 nt
Organism: Corvus moneduloides (New Caledonian crow)
Lineage: Eukaryota; Metazoa; Chordata; Aves; Passeriformes; Corvidae
Source: Ensembl